AUGGAUAAAAUUCCGCCGGAGACGAGGGCCAUCUAUGAUCUGCUCCGAGCCGAUUUCGACCGAGCCGACCGCGACCGUGUCGACUCCACGGCGCAAGCGAUCGCGCAGCUCGACGCCAAGCUCGACCACCUCUCAGGCCGCAUCGACGAGGUCAAGGUGUCGAUCGGCGUCGACAUCGAUGAGCUGCGGCAGGGGCUCGACCACUCUGCUCCACCGCCGUCGGAGCCCCAUCGAGGCGCGCCGGCCACACCAUCACAAGGGCCGAGCAGCAGUUCCAAUAGCUCCGAAGGGCACCGCGCCGACGCUGAAAACCGCGGGCAGGGGUAA
RNAcentral lists this ribosomal RNA (327 nucleotides) under Triticum aestivum (bread wheat). Its description in RNAcentral is "partial small subunit ribosomal RNA". Lineage: Eukaryota; Viridiplantae; Streptophyta; Magnoliopsida; Poales; Poaceae. The record is from RNAcentral.